UAUAUGUCUGGCUUCCUGGCUUCUCACCCUCCUUCCCGAUACUUCUCGUCUCCUUCCCGACUCUUCCGUCUCCAGCAUCGCGCCGAGGCCGCGCUCGGUAGUGCCGUCGUCGUUCCCCACCUUCGUCGUCGCUGCCGACCAUCGUGACGCCCUCUCCGGUCCUGGGACGGCACAAACCCAACCUAGGGUUUCGGCCCUUCAUCAGGUGGCAGCUGCAGCACCGACGACCCACGACCCCCUCCUUUCUCCUCCACCCCACGCGGCCUAGCCCUGUGACAUGGCUCCUCGCAGAGCGUGACGCGGGUGGUGUGGGUCCUGCGCGGCGGCGCGACAUGGGCGGACACCGUUGUUGCCCACGGUUGCCUCCCUCCACGUGAGCUCCUGCACACAGGCAGCGCGGCUCUCCUCUCCCUCGAUCCAUCCACUCGCUGGUUUACUCUUCCUCUCUUUCCCUUCCUCCCUCCUUUCCUUCCCCCUCUCUCCUGAUGUGGGAUAUCACCGUAGAUGUGGUGUUUUCAUUCUAUUCUCGCACCAAUCUACACAUGGUUAUUGUUAAUUGUUGUUGUUAUCCCCUACAAACCCGUGCAGCUCCUCCAAAGAACCCCUGGCCACGUCUCCUCAAAUGUUUUCAGCACUUUGAUUUGCUAUCCUCUGGUUGAUAAACGCUGCAGCUGAUUCAGCUGAUUUCGUUACCAAAUACCUCCUCCUGUGAUUUCUAAUGCUUCUUUGGGUUUACUUCCUAGCUAUGCUUAAUUUUUACAGCUUCCACUGUAAGUCCUGAACUCUGAGCACAUGACCAUGGCACUAAUAUUGGUUUCACACUAUCUGCACUGCAGUACUGAUGUUUUUGGGUUCAUUGUUUGCAUUUUAGCCAUGUGUGAUGAUGAGUAUGAUUUAGAUCUACAAUUGAGGGAAUGGGCUACUGCUAUGAUAAUUGCACCAUAAAUUAGGUUUAUUUGUGUUCCAUGUAAUGAUCAUUAUGUACCUUUCCAUAGGUUACAUCUUGAUGUCUUUAGAUGCCUGAGGCAAUGCUCAUGACCUAAGAUCACUCUUCCUCUUACAUCUUUUUUCUAUAUCGACAACUUAGGCAAUCACCAUGGUCAGUGUUGGUGCUAUUUUUGCCAACUCUUUCUAGCUGUCCCAUGAUAGCAGAGGCAAUGGUCAAUUGGUUGUCUAUGUUUUCUUGCAUCUAUUCCUGCCUCAUCUGUUUUGUCACAUACUAUGCGGCUGAAAUUUGCUCUUGGUUAUGAGAUCUGAGGUUGUGUUGCCAUUGCCUGUGAUAAUUUUUUUGCUUUGCCUGUUUGUUACGUAUGAGCAUUGCCUGUGAUGACAUACUAUUUCUUCUGAGCACAUGCCCUAUCCCAAUGAUUACAUUGGCAUACACUUUGGUUGUGUGCAAUCACUUUCUGUUUAUCUAUUUCUUUGAUUUCUUCGGGUAUGAAUCUUGUGCUUGCUUGUGCUCUACUUGCUUUUAUCUUCGCCCAAUUAAUGUUUUUGUUGAUAUUUUUGGGAGCAAUUGUGAUGCUUGGCUGGUACUUGGUCCCUAUGUUCGUACUCAGGUACCUGAAUGAUUUAGGCUUUUGGAAUUGAUGGUAUGCUCCCUGUUCAUGUCCUUCACUUCUAACAGGAAAAAAGUUGCCAUGAUUUCCUAUUGUGGUGAAACUAUUUACCAAAGUAAAUAAUAUUUUAUUUAGUUCUAUACAGCAAGCAUGCCUACUGUGAUAUUGAGACAAUCAGUUAUGAAGCUACAUUGCAAUGUUUUAUUCCUGUUGGUUCCCUUCUUAGCAAAGAAGUUGCUACUAAAUGGUUUACAAUGUGCGUUGUGCUUCACUAAAACUAUUACAUAAAUAUUUGCCUCUGCUUCUUCUUAAAUUUGUCAGAAAACUUCUUUCGUCUUAAUGAAAUAUGGGCUUAACCCCCAUUCGUGAAAAAAAACAAAGUAUGUAAACUAUGCAUGUACAAUGUCCGUAACUUUGUUUGGUUAAUUUGUAUAAUAAGCUAUGACUUAAUUUCUAGAACCAUCAUUUUAUCAUAUUUUGAAAUUGGUAACGGUUCUCACGAUCCAGUUGUGUUUGACUAUCUUUGAAGACAGUCAAGUAGCGAAUGCCUCUCAAAAGGUUUCAGUGAUCUAUUACAUGGAGUCAUGGACCUUAUUCAUUAUCAAUGUAUUUUUAUUUGAUUCUUUCUCUAAUUUUUGAACUAUAACUAUUGUUGGCUUCCUUCUUUGAUUCGUAUAGCUACGAAUGAGUAGCUUUAUCAUCUACAUUAUGCGCACUCCUUUCUCUUGGUCAAUUUCUGCCAUAAGCAAUAGCCCAGUUCCCUCUCCUUGAUUGUAAAUUCUCCAGUCUCCCUACCUUGCAAGAUACAACCAUGUAUUAGCGCUUCAUUUUUCCAUGUCCACCUCAGUGAAUCUAUAGUAUGGGUUUUGAACACUGUUUUCUUUCUUAGAUCAAUGGCAGGGCUCCUAUCAUUUUUGUUCCAAAAGAAGUACUUAGUCUAUUUACUCAAGUCAUGUUUCCUGAACCUUGGUUUGUAAUGUACUAUUUUCAUAAUUAUAGGCAGCUCCCAACCUUUGAUCUACUGCCUGAAGAAGAAUAUGUAUGUAAGACACUGCUACAGAGUGCAAACAGCUUCAUCGGAUCCUGGACCAGCAGAGGUAGGAUGCAAAAGUGCUACAGACAACACAGUUUCGAUCACAUAUGCAAGAAAUCGAAAGACUUCUCAACUCUGAUGGUAUCGAAAUCCAUGGAUAGUUCUUAUGAACUUCGUGUGCUGAAGAAGUUGGAAAUAUGAGGGAAGCAGUUUGGAGUAGACCAUGGAUGUCUGCAUGCGGGCUAAGGGAUGCAUAUUUCAGAAACUCCAGGAACUACCAAAUGGCUGUCCUCCUUGUUUAGAUGAUGAUUAUUUGAGAUUGCUUAACCAACUUUUGAGUUCUGGCACAAUUCUCGUGGUGCACUUCCCAUCGAAGAUCUGGGACCAGCAAUUAACACCAUUCAAAAAUUUCAAACUUCUAACCUAUUUGCAGUAAGGGUUCACCUCCAAGGAGUUACACCGGUAUGUAAUCAUGCUAAACCUUCCUCAGGAAGUGACGAUUGAUAAUUUUGAGUGGAUGAUGCCUGGGAGGCUUUGGUUUCUUUUUGAUAUAGGUCCUAUGCUUGGUAGCAACACAAUCAAAUUAAGCCGAGGAUUUUCUCCUUUUCAGUCUGCAAUUACAAGGCCUUCACAUGUAACCUACCACGCUGUUGUUUUUAUCAUGCCAUUAUCUAUCCAGUAUUCCCACAAACUGCAAGUCCAUUGUUCUACUUCUAUUUUUAAAAUUCUGAAAAAGACUGAAAUCUUUAUAUUUAGUCCACUGUUUGCUGCUUAUUUGUUGUUUAUCUUAUUUAAGCCUACAAUGUUAGUAUCUGUAUGGAUCCAUGUUUUAAAUAGCGAGCUAAGGCCAAGGUGUUUAGCGUUUUAUAAACCAUAAUUAGCGUACUUUAGCGGCAAAAUAGCGACAAAAUUGUGCAUGAACACAAAUAGCGGCACAAUUUUUUUCAAGCUAUUUCGGGCUAUAGCGGCAAAAAUAGCGGGCCAGGUUCAGUGCUAACAACAUCAUGACGACCGGUAAUAUGGAGUUGCUGCUGCGUCCAUCAUUCUCUCAAAUAUGUGUGCAUGCAGUUACUUAAUAGGUUACCGUGCAGUGACUAUGUUGGAUUCUCUGCUCUUUUGCUCGCCUGUAGUGCCUACUAACCGAUCUGUCUAUCCAUUGUUGAGGUUCGCCUCUUCCUUGCUUAUUCUGUUUUUUGUCCUUACUCAUUUGUUGGAGUAUUGACUUAAAUUCGCCCUUAGUGGAAAUGGUGUUGCACUUCCCUGUUUUUAUAGAUUCCAAAUGAAUGUUCUCUAAUGCUAUUCAUAUGUUUUUUUUUUUGAGAAAUCUGGAGGGGCUUUGGCCCCUACAGUGAAAGUUUAUUCAUAGAGAAAAAGGGGGUACACAGAUACAGGUACACUAGGGAACAAAGAAAGAAAGGAAGAAGAGUAAAAAGGUGGAGAAAGAAGAAGGAAACAAAAAGAAGAAAACUAAGAAAGAGACUGAAUCCAUGCUUCAAGAACUUGUAGAUGCUGAUCUUUGACUCUAUGCGUGAGCAAGAGCAGUUCUUUCCUGAAAAGAAGUUUGCUGAUCCUAUAGACGGUGGAAUUCCUUCGAAGAUCUGGUUGUUUCUUGUUUUCCAGAUGGACCAUGACAUCAGGAUAAUUGUUUCCAUGAAAAAACUGGAUUGUAUUUGAUCCUUGAUCUGGGAGACAGCCUCAGGAAAAUUGGUGUUCAUAGGUGCUUCAAUCUGGAUAUUGUCCCAGCAUUGACCGGCAAAGGGGCACUGAAGGAACAGGUGUUGUGCAGUUUCUUCCGUACUGUUAACACAGAAGACACAGUCAAAGGAUGCAAGCUCCAUAUUCUUCCUCCUUAGUAUGUUUCUUGUGUUCAGUCUAUCUUUCAACAGUAGCCAAAAGAACACCUUGUGUUUUGGUUGGCAUUUUGAUUUCCAUAGCCACUUAUAGGAAUCAUGGAUCUGGGAAUGACCCAUUAGAAGUUUGUAGGCUCUGUUGGAGUGGAACCUCUCUCCCCAGGUAUAGCUCCAGACAUCCUUUUCUUGAGUAUGAGGAAAUCUUUGUAGAAUGACUAAGAGUUGCUGAAGUUGCUGAUAUGCCUGAACAGAUAAGGGCAGGUGGAACAGCUGUGAUAAAUUACUACAUUCAAGUACUUUCUUGGCAGAAAUAUAUUGUUUUUUUGUAAAAGAGAAAAGUUCUGGCAUUGUGGCUUUGAGCUCCCGAUUAUUCCACUUGUCUUCCCAGAAUAGAGUGCUUUCACCAUUUCUAAGGGCUAUGGAAGCAAAUUCCUUGUACUGAUGCAGUAGUAGUUUGAGAUUGUCUCUCCACCAAAAUGAGCCUUUUCUGGUCCUCCCUGGAAGUUUAUCAUUUCUGUAAUAUUUUUCCCAAAUCAUUUGUACCCAGGGUAUAUCCCUCUUAUUUAAGAACUUAUCCCAAUUCUUCAUCAUGAGUGCCUUGUUUUGUUUCCCCAGAUCAAUUACUCCUAGGCCUCCCUGUUCUUUGGGUUGACAAACUAGGGUCCAAGCUGCUUGAGGUGGUUUUCUCCCAUUCACAUCGCUUCCUCUCCAAAGACAGUUCUUCCUAAAAGAAUCAAUUCGCUUAAUCACUGUCCCAGGGAUCUCAAGAGAACAUAGGUAAAAAGUUGGGAGGGCCGUCAUGACAGCAUUUGUUAUUUCCAGUCUGCCAGCUUGUGAAAGAAGGGCUGAUACACCUCCAAGCCUAUUUUCACACUUAUUUAUCAGAGGCAAGUAGUCCUGAAUCACUGGCUUUGUGAGGCCCAAAUAAGUAAAAGGGAAGGAGCCUUUGGAACAACCAAAGGUGUUGGCCAGAUGAUCCAACUUCUGAUCGUUGAUGUUGAUAGGCAGCAUCAUUGAUUUCUUCAGAUUGACCUUGAGACCUGUUGCUUCUGAGAAGGUGUUGAUUACUGACUUUAAAAACAGGAGUUGUCUUGUGUCACCUUCUAGAAUUAUAAGUGUAUCAUCAGCAUACUGGACCACUGGGAAGUCAGGAUUCGUUUGCAAAGGUAUUGGUAAUGACAGGAGCCCCAAGUCCUUUCCCUUGUUAAUCAGAGACUGAAGAAGAUCAGCUGCAAGCACAAAGAGUAGAGGGGAGAGAGGGUCACCCUGCCUGACCCCUCUUAGACAAUGAAUGGUCUUUCCAGGGGAUCCGUUCAAUAGAACUUGGGAGGUAGCAGAAGUGAACAGGGCUCUGACCCAUCCAAUCCACCUUUCUCCAAAACCUUUAGCUUGCAGGAUGUUGAUGAUUGCUUGGUGUUCCAUUUUGUCAAAAGCUUUUUCAAAGUCAAGCUUAAUGACCACUAUUUCUUUUUUUGAGUGAUGGCACAUGUGGAGAUAUUCAAAGGCCCAGGCCACACAGUCCUGAAUUGUCCUAUGCUUGAUGAACCCAUAUUGAUUUUUGUGCACAAGUUUGGUUAUCACUGGCUGCAACCUGUUUGCCAUUAUCUUUGUCACUAGCUUGAGGGAGGAAUUUAGCAGUGAUAUGGGCCUGAAGUCUGUGACAGUUCUGGGAUCAUGCACUUUUGGGACAAGGGUAAUGAAAGAGGUAUUGAUGCUUCUCAGGCAGACUUCAUUACUAAAGAAGGAGUCACAAAAUUUAAGUAAAUCUUCUUUUACAGUUCCCCAUGAGGCUUUUAGGAACUCAUUAGUGAAUCCAUCGGGUCCUGGGGAUUUGUCAUUAGGGAGGUACUUGAUGACUGCCUCUAUCUCAUGAUUACUGAGAGGCAGCUCCAGACAAGAAAGGUCAUCCCUAGUUUGUAGCAGAUAUUCUAACUCAAAUCCAAACCUGUCAAACUCUGAUUUGCCUAGUCUUUCCUUGUACUCCUUCCAUAACAUCUCCUCCUUCUCUCUGUGUGUGCUUGCAAGGUAGCCAUCCUCCCUUUCCAAAUGUCUGAUAAGAUUUCCUCUCAUUCUUAUUGUGGCAUUUGCAUGAAAGAAUUUUGUUGUUGCAUCCCCUAGCUUCACCCAUUUAAUGUUGCCUCUUUGUUUCCAAUAGGUUUUCUGCUGAUCCAAAAGCAUAAAUAAUUUCUCCUUCAGUGAAGAUCUAAAGUUCCACUCUGGCAGACUAAGAUCUCUGUAUUCUUCAAUGACAUCCAAGAACUGUAUGAUAUUUUUCACAUUUUGGAUAACAGUCUUUAGAUUGGACAGGGAGGCUUGUUUCUCCUUCAGAGUUUUCCUCAAUCGUUUAUAUUUAGCAGUAAGUGUCCUGGCAGGGUCCAACUGUGCUAGGGGACUGUUCCAGCUGCUGCUCAAGAUUUCUUGAAAGUUCUGCAUUUGAAGCCAAUAGUUCUCGAAUCUGAAGGCUUUGGGCUUCGGGAUUUGAGUAGAUAUCUGGACCAAACAUGGGCAAUGAUCAGAGGGGCUUCUGUUCAGAGCUUUUGCAGAUGUAUCAGGAUACUUUAGAGUCCAGGCAUUUGAAGUGAAGAUCCAAUCAAGCUUUUCUAAGAGAGGGUUCGGCUGCAUGUUGGACCAUGUGUAUUUUCUUCCCUGUAGUGUUAUUUCAUUGAUUCCCAGGUGACUGAUGGUAUCAUUAAACAUGAACAUUUCAGCCAUGUUUCCUUCUCCCCUAUUUCUGUCCUCCGGCUUCCUGAUCAAAUUGAAAUCACCCAAGACUAUCCAUUCCCUGUCCUCAGGCAUUUGAAUCUGCCUGAGCCAGUCAGUGAAAUUCUGCUUUCCUUCUGGUGUACGCGGGCCAUAGACAUUAGUUAAGAUCCAACUGUCAUCACUCAUUUUAGAGUUAAUUUCCACAGAGAUGGCAAACUCAUUAUUAAAAUCAUUUCCCCACUGAAUAAUCUUCCUUUCCAUAUUGUAAUUAUCCCCCCUGAGGCGCCUACUGAUGGGAGAAAUUCAAAGCUAUCGAAACUGGGUGGGCAAAUAUUUCUGAGAAAGGACUGGUCAAACUCAUCUUUCUUAGUCUCCUGAAGACAGAAUGUCACACUCAGAUUCCACAAUCCUGUCCCUGAUUAUAUUCCAUUUAUCUCUAGAAUUUAUGCCCCUAACAUUCCAGCUCAAGAUCUUCCAAUUCCUAUUGUGAUUGUGAUUCAUUUGUCACAUGAGAGGUUAGUUUUUAGGCUAGGCGUCAGAAAGAUUGCCUCUUUUGUUCUACAGCCCGAACAAGUAUCAACCUUUAUCACUUGCUCACAGGUUUGUGAUAUAUGAGAUCCAACAGAAUUAUCAUUCAGAAGCUCUACAAACUCAGCAUCAAAGCACCCACACAGUAGGUAAGAGGAAAACACAAACCGCAAAUUAUCCAGCAACAUCUGUGAGUCUGAGUUUGUCUUGUCCAGAGACAAGGAGAUCAAAGAGACAACCAAACAACUAGAGUUGCACUUCAAAAUACAAGUUCUUAUGUUUUCCCCCUCCAUAAACCGUCGAGGGAAGUAGAAGACUAGACAAAAUAGGGGGUUCCCACUACUUCUAGGCACCCUCAAGUACUCAGUUACUCUUGUCACCGUUCUUCUUCUUUGGGUUCUUUGGUCCUUCAUCUCCAUUGCCUUUCUUUCUUGGCUCCUCCUCCCCUUCUUCCAUCUUCUUUUUCUGCCCUAUCUUCUUUUGUUCCUUCUUUUUUAGCAGGGCUUCAUCAGUCAAUUGUUCAUCUUCCAGUUCACCAAGCUCCUUUCCAAGUCUCUUGAUUACCUGCUUGGACAAGGUAGGAGGAUUAGGGAGGCAGAAGAAACACUUUUUAUCAGAACAGAUGCCUCUUCUGGUUCCAUUGUUCACCUGCUUUCCUCUGCUGUUCCUUCUGAGCUCUGUUUCCACAACUGGGCAGGUCCUCUUGGGUCCCCUUUUCUUGGGAGUGGACUUGGGCUCCUGAAGCCGUUUUCCCACUUCCUCAUCUUCUUCCAGUGAGCUUAACUUAGUCUUGGGUGCUGCAACACAAGCAGUGUAUUGAGGACACUGUUGAGGCACAUGAAAGUCCACAACCCCAUCACCAACCCUCAGACAAUCUGCAGCUUUUGAGGAUAGAAAAUCUUUUGCCCAAUUGAACAGACUUGGAGAUAGAAGCAUGGCAGUGAAAAAAUUAACCCAUCCCGAAGGAACAGCUAAAUGUAGGUGAUUAGCAUUACCUUGAGCAAAGAAUCUAGCCCAAAGUCUGGUUGCCUCAGCAGUUCUGCUUCUUUGAGCCCAGACAGGAUCAGCCUCUGGGCCAAACAGCAGGGCCCUUCCAACCUGGAGAUUUUGAUAAACCAUCUGGUCCUCAGGUAUUUCAUUUUCUUCUGCAGGUGCAUGUUCAUGGGCCUCAAGGUUUGCAGGAAGGCCAAGGCCCAACUCAUUUUGAGCUGGUUCAUGGGCUUCUAAAAUGACAUGAGGCCCAGCAAGGUGCAGAGCAACUGGUUCAAUUUGUAAGUUGUGUUGAGCUGGUCCCUCCAUAUCAAAAAUAUUUUCAUUAGGGAUAUGGAGCUCAGGAGCCAGCUCGUUUACUUCCAAAAGUUCCUCAUUUUGUUCCAGCUCUACAGGGUCAAUCUGGAAGUCCUGCAUUUCUAAGUCUGCAAUAUUCAUGAGAUGUUGUUCUUCAGCCAUCAGGUUCAAGUUCAGCUGGUUAUUCAACACUGGCUGGUGAAGAUGAACUUGCGGAGGUGGCUGCUCAAGAGCCUGCAGAGGCAUCUGCUGAAUUUCUUCAAUUUCUUGCCCAGGGUCUUGAGGAUUUAGCUGAUUUGCUGGGUUUACAAUAACCUCCAUUGGGUCCUCCUCCCCCCAGGUAGAUUCAGGUCAAUAUUUAUCACAUGUUCUGCUUCCAGAUUCAGGUUGGGUACUUGGACAGGAACCUGCAAUUGUUGCUGUUGAGGCUGAGGCCAGAGUUCCCAGGCAGCAUUGUCAGCAUUAUCCCCAUCUUGAGCUUGUGGUUCAACUUGUUGCUGAUUCUGAAUCUGCUCUUGCUCAUUUUCCUGGAUCUGAAAGGGUCCAUUACCAGGUUGGCCGAGACCAAAGAAGUCAAAUGGUGCCCCUACUGGGAAAGGUUCGACUGGCAAAGGAUCCUCAUCCUGUGGUCCAUCACCCAACAAUCUGCUUUGAAGGACCUCACAUUGCACUGUCCAAGAGUCACUCUCUAAUCCCAGAGAAUCUGAUAGCACGAUGAACUGAGGGACCGACUGUAGGUCAAGGACUCUGGCCUUGAGAAUCAAUCUUACCAUCCUGCUCCUAUCAUUCCUCCAGUGCAGAAGUUUCCCAAACGAUGAAAUAGCAUUCUGGAUGUAUCCAUCUUCCCAAUAAUCAGCCGGGAACUCCAUGAGCAUCAACCAUACCUCAGUGUUGAAGUAGGCCCUACGCCAGUUCCUACCUUUGUUGUGCUCCGUAAAGGUGAAGUGCACAUCUAGGUAAGGAAUAGGACCUAAGCUCACCAGAUUGUCUCUAUCAAUCCUAUGGUGAAAUCUUACCAGAGCUUGACCCAGCGUAGAAGGCUGGAUUUCCUUGACAUGUAUUCUCCGCUCAAGAAAGAACUCAGCUAGAACUUCUUCAACAGCAUCAAAGUGAAUGGCAUUACCAGGCAGAUGAUCGAUGGUGACGAUCGCGAGGUCUUCAUUCCUAAGCGGAGGCCUCGAGGAAACCACCGCCCUGACAACUGGCACCCUGUUCUCCACUUCCAUCCAUUGCAGAUUCUGAGGGAUGAAAGGACGAGGGUCAGAGCGUUGGAAGGCCAUUGGUGAAGCAAGCGGCGCAGAUUGAGCUGGUGUAGGUUUGUUUGCGCUGGGGUUUUCUUGAUUUUCCUGGUGCUCCUGUUGUUCUUGCACGGGAACAGAGGAGGAAGGAGGGUAGACGACCGACUGAUUAAUGCAAAGCGUCCACCGCUUAGGGUCGUGCGCCUCUUCAGCUU
Long non-coding RNA from Sorghum bicolor (sorghum), 10413 nucleotides. RefSeq lists it as uncharacterized. The transcript is spliced from 6 exons. Lineage: Eukaryota; Viridiplantae; Streptophyta; Magnoliopsida; Poales; Poaceae. The record is from RefSeq and is a predicted model, not a curated record.